UAAUGUGGUCGUAUAAUACCUAAAAAGACAUGAUAUUUCAUCUCACUUGAACUGAAAAGUUAACAUGUGGCUAACGAUGUAUGGCCAAUGUGAUCUGAUUCGGUCCCUUAUUUUCCACCGCUGGACCUGGACAACAUCUAAGGAAUACGUUUGCUUUCCUAUUCCCCUAGGCCCUACCUCAUCGUGAACACCUCCACAGAAGAAACCAGCGACGACCUGCUAAUCAACGAUAGCCAUCGACGACCUGCUGCUCAGCGAACGUCUUCUUCCUCCGACGAACGUCCUCUUCCGAGCAGAUGAGUUUUUUUUGCUCGUUUUUUUGUUUGAUUGUUGCUGAGAUGUCUGAUUUUUGCUGCUCAUUUUUGGUUGUUUGAAUUUUGUAGGUUGAUUGAUGAUGCCCGCAAGGUGUUUGUUAAAUUGUCUGCUUGGAACACCAUUAUUGCUGGAUAAUCCUCUUCCUAGCAGAUGAGUUUUUUUUUUUUUUUGCUCGUUUUUUUUGCUUGAUUGUUGUUGAGAUGUCUGAUUUUUGCUACUCAUUUUUUGUUGUUUUGAAUUUUGUAGGUUGAUUGAUGAUGCCCGCAAGGUGUUUGUUAAAUUGCUUGCUUGGAACAACAUUAUUGCUAGAUAAGCUCAAAACGGUUUUGUAGGGAGGGCAAUGGAAUUGGUCUCACAGAUGGCUUUUCCCAUCACUACCCCCUGAUGUAGCUCCUCCGAUGUACAAACAAAUUUUGCAAAAAGAAAGGUGAUAUGAAUUGUAUGUCUAUAUACUUUAUAGAAAAAUUAUGAUGUAACUUGAGUGUUGUGCAUUACAACAUGAUAAAGAAUAUUUUAAUAUACUCUCAUUGUAUUUUGUACUUUCUAAGAAUACAAGGUUUUUGA
Lactuca sativa (garden lettuce) is the source of this 879-nucleotide non-coding RNA. The record is from RefSeq and is a predicted model, not a curated record. Lineage: Eukaryota; Viridiplantae; Streptophyta; Magnoliopsida; Asterales; Asteraceae.